This 434-nucleotide ribosomal RNA is filed under the name uncultured Lachnospiraceae bacterium. RNAcentral describes it as "partial 16S ribosomal RNA". It matches the Rfam family "Bacterial small subunit ribosomal RNA", at positions 341 to 792 of the family's 1533-position model. The record is from RNAcentral. Lineage: Bacteria; Bacillati; Bacillota; Clostridia; Lachnospirales; Lachnospiraceae.
ACGGAAGGCAGCAGUGGGGAAUAUUGCACAAUGGGGGAAACCCUGAUGCAGCGACGCCGCGUGAGUGAAGAAGUUAUUCGUAAUGUAAAGCUCUAUCAGCAGGGAAGAAAAUGACGGUACCUGACUAAGAAGCCCCGGCUAACUACGUGCCAGCAGCCGCGGUAAUACGUAGGGGGCAAGCGUUAUCCGGAUUUACUGGGUGUAAAGGGAGCGUAGACGGUCUGGCAAGUCUGAUGCGAAAGGCAGGGGCUCAACUCCUGGACUGCAUUGGAAACUGUCAGUCUUGAGUGCCGGAGAGGUAAGCGGAAUUCCUAGUGUAGCGGUGAAAUGCGUAGAUAUUAGGAGGAACACCAGUGGCGAAGGCGGCUUACUGGACGGUAACUGACGUUGAGGCUCGAAAGCGUGGGGAGCAAACAGGAUUAGAUACCCUGGUA